Eptesicus fuscus (big brown bat) is the source of this 904-nucleotide long non-coding RNA. RefSeq lists it as uncharacterized. The record is from RefSeq and is a predicted model, not a curated record. The transcript has 3 exons. NCBI's taxonomy places the organism in Eukaryota, Metazoa, Chordata, Mammalia, Chiroptera, Vespertilionidae.
AGUACACAAGAGGCACGUCUUGGUGACUUCCGGCUCAGAGCACAUGCACAGCUUCCUGUUUUGGUCCGAUAGCUUCCCCUGGGCUUUCACAUGCAAAGCUACCCACACAGAGAUGGGUUGCCCAUGCAAAAGAGUGUAGAAUCCAUGCUAUGUAUCUUCAAAUUUUAAAAAAUAAUAACAACAAAAAAGAAGGCAACAAAAGAGUUGGCAAAGAGGAGAACUGUAAAAAUCAGUAAAACAAAGGACAGCAGCUCUUACUCUAUCUUCUUUUUUAUUUGGGGUCAGAUAUUUAUUGGAUUCAGUUCUGGGCUUUUGACCAAAAGAAGAUUUUCAGAAAAAUAAAGAAGAUAAUAGAAGAGACACAUGAAAAUGACUGAAAGCUUGGGAAAUAUGAAUCAAGAUUGUUAGACCUAGCAGAGAGCUGGCUAGAUGACAUUUCAGUAGAUGAUGGAUUCCUUCACAGAGCAUGAUGCUAAUCUAAGACAUAAUAGUCACUCACUCAUCAUUUUAAAUAAUGUUUUAGAACUAAGUGAAUGAAUGGCUGAUUAUUAUACAUCUGCCCUGAACUCAUAAGAAAAAAAUUAAAACUAUAGAGAAAGUCAUCUACAUUUGGUAUGAGGUGACAUAAUUUAUUUAAAAUAUAGAAGAUGCUGCAUUGACUCCUUCUAGAAAAGGUUGGGAGGGGUUAAAAAGUGAGGAAAAUUUGGGGUGCUGAGAAAUAUAAUUACACAAACUCCUAAAUUCUGAGGUUCCUUAAGAAAUGGACACAAAGACCCAAACCAAAACAAAUUUCUAAGCCUGGCAUUGCAAAGAAAAGCAGAGACUACCAGAGAAGACAGAUAGAACUGGUCUAGUUGAUAUUAUUGAAUCCCCUGGAUACAGAUGUGCAUCAAAUAAGCAAGAU